CUACGUCUAUCACCAUAGAGCCGGGAUAAGCUUCUAGGCAGCGGGCCGCCGCGUACCAUAGUACUGCAGCCAGUGGUCUGCGUGUGUAGGAGGACUGGACCGCUGUGGGUGGCUUUAGGCUUUUCUGCGAUGCAGAAUUGUGGCUCUAACCUCCACCCUUUGUCAAGCAGACAAAGGCCAAAGUCUUAGAAGAUUCCUCAAGAAAGUCUUUUAUUCACAUAUCCUGCUGUAGAGACCAUUCAUGGAGAAGAUUUCAUGUUGUCUGGAGAGGCCUAGUUCACAUUGCCAUCGGACUUCACUAUUCAGAGUUCCGUCAGCAAUCCGGUCAGAACAAUGGAGGUUUAGCAGAGAAUAAAAUAGUACAAGCAGUA
Long non-coding RNA from Hyla sarda, 371 nucleotides. RefSeq lists it as uncharacterized. NCBI's taxonomy places the organism in Eukaryota, Metazoa, Chordata, Amphibia, Anura, Hylidae. The record is from RefSeq and is a predicted model, not a curated record. The transcript has 2 exons.